RNAcentral lists this long non-coding RNA (239 nucleotides) under Nicotiana benthamiana. Its description in RNAcentral is "long non-coding RNA (NBEN_LNC001075)". The record is from RNAcentral. Lineage: Eukaryota; Viridiplantae; Streptophyta; Magnoliopsida; Solanales; Solanaceae.
AUUCAAGCAAUAUUUGUUUAUCUAUAAAAUGGUACAGUUAAAUUUAUUGUGUAAUUUAUAGACAAGCGAAUUGAUUUGAUCCAAAGCUAAUGAAGAGAUAAAAAUUUUAAAAUUAAUUUAUAGACCAAAAUUGGUCGGAAAAUCUUCCCAAAAAACCAAAAUCAAACGUUAUUUUCUCGAUCGAAUUCUGUCAUUUUUUUAUUAUGCAAUUAAAAAAUAUACCGUCUCGGACUCAAACC